RNAcentral lists this non-coding RNA (30 nucleotides) under Macaca fascicularis (crab-eating macaque). Lineage: Eukaryota; Metazoa; Chordata; Mammalia; Primates; Cercopithecidae. RNAcentral also lists the same sequence under 1 other name. The record is from RNAcentral.
UCCUAGGACAGGGGCAUGAGAGCUCAGGAU